GAAUGUGUGAGCAAAUGUAGAAAAUGAACUGACUUCUCCUUACUCUCCAUGCUCUUUUCACUAGCUCUUUGCUCCCUAAUCUGCGGGAGGGACAGCGUCAUGGGAAUCAUCCCCCCAAGUCCUCUGAGUAAAGUUGCAUCAUCUCACCUUCUUCAAUGGUUAUCAACUGAAUUGAACACCCUACACCUGCCUAUCUGCCUGUGUGAUUUCCUGAUUCCUGCUGCAGGUUCUGAAAGAACAGAGUUCUCCAGCAAUAAUUGAUAACUGAACCUGCAUCUCCUGCAAAUAUCAGCUUAACCAACUAUGGCCGUCUGUCUGGUUGCUCUGGAAACUUAAGGCACAUCUGGUUUGCACUAGGAUAAAACUCAUCACCCAUUUCAGGUAUUUGGUGCUGUGGCCUCCAGUGCAUUUUCAGAGGCUCAUUAUGGUAUCUGUCUCUUCACCUUCUACUGGGUGGGUCUACACCCCUGAUGGCAGGU
This 479-nucleotide long non-coding RNA is filed under the name Suricata suricatta (meerkat). RNAcentral's name for it is "lncRNA (ENSSSUG00005012033.1)". Lineage: Eukaryota; Metazoa; Chordata; Mammalia; Carnivora; Herpestidae. The record is from RNAcentral.